UCCGCACUUUCAAGAGAUGGAUGCCCGCCAAGGUAACCCCAGGAUAUCCUAUUAGUAACAAGGCAGCAAUAAAACAUUUUCACAGGACCUAAGAUUUGGCAACCAAAAAGCUGCAUAUUCCAUUAUUAGUAGAAGGACUCCCCUAGAAUCCCCAUCGAUCAUGGUAGCCAAUACUGGAGAAACUACUCUACACCAAGCACGCUAAUACAAAACUUGACACGUCAGGGGCCCGUCACCAUCGUCACGGGUAAAAAACGAAGGGUUCUUUUCUAUGAAAUGCAAUAACGACAUAAACUCAAUAAUAGAUAUCGCGAAAGUGGCUGACCUUUUUUUUGACUGAUGCUUCGUUUGGCUUUGGAAUGGAAAUUUUUGAAUUUCUGAAAACGUUU
Daphnia pulex (common water flea) is the source of this 389-nucleotide long non-coding RNA. RefSeq lists it as uncharacterized. The record is from RefSeq and is a predicted model, not a curated record. The transcript is spliced from 3 exons. Lineage: Eukaryota; Metazoa; Arthropoda; Branchiopoda; Diplostraca; Daphniidae.